Molecule: ribosomal RNA, 470 nt
Filed under: Veillonella parvula
Lineage: Bacteria; Bacillati; Bacillota; Negativicutes; Veillonellales; Veillonellaceae
Description: bacterial SSU rRNA
Rfam family: Bacterial small subunit ribosomal RNA
Source: RNAcentral
GACGAACGCUGGCGGCGUGCUUAACACAUGCAAGUCGAACGAAGAGCGAUGGAAGCUUGCUUCUAUCAAUCUUAGUGGCGAACGGGCGAGUAACGCGUAAUCAACCUGCCCUUCAGAGGGGGACAACAGUUGGAAACGACUGCUAAUACCGCAUACGAUCUAAUCUCGGCAUCGAGGAUAGAUGAAAGGUGGCCUCUACAUGUAAGCUAUCACUGAAGGAGGGGAUUGCGUCUGAUUAGCUAGUUGGAGGGGUAACGGCCCACCAAGGCGAUGAUCAGUAGCCGGUCUGAGAGGAUGAACGGCCACAUUGGGACUGAGACACGGCCCAGACUCCUACGGGAGGCAGCAGUGGGGAAUCUUCCGCAAUGGACGAAAGUCUGACGGAGCAACGCCGCGUGAGUGAUGACGGCCUUCGGGUUGUAAAGCUCUGUUAAUCGGGACGAAAGGCCUUCUUGCGAAUAGUAGAAGGA